Molecule: unclassified non-coding RNA, 540 nt
Filed under: Hevea brasiliensis (rubber tree)
Lineage: Eukaryota; Viridiplantae; Streptophyta; Magnoliopsida; Malpighiales; Euphorbiaceae
Source: RNAcentral
GUUUGUGAGUGCUUGAAUUUUUCAAAACUUGUGUUGGAUGGAACUUGUUAGGAUGGUGAAGUGGGAAAGUUAGAUGCUUUCGAUAAUUUUAGGGCCAGAUUUUGGUUGCUAAGCGGUUUUCGUUUAUGAAACAUGUUUGGAUUAUCUGAGGUAUGCUACUUCAUUCCUAGGUGAUCAGGACGAAGAAAUUGCUGAUUCAAUGCAUUUAUAUUUAUUCCUCAAAUGCUAUGGAUUUUUCUUAUGUUCCACAAUUCCACCAACUUGAUAUGCAUAAAUUAUUAAAAGUUUAAUAGGUGACCUUUUUGAGCUUCAGGUUCUGAAUUUGGUAUAUUUUUGAAGGUUUAACUUUUGACUAGUAUAAGUUUAUUUAGAAAUUCCCAUUCAUUUAAUACGAUGAAUCAUGAAUAUUUAAAUAGCACAGUUGUUCUUUUUAUUGCUUCUCAAUCUUGCAUGAAUAAUAUGUUUUUUGAUUUUCUUUUUUCUUCUCCCACCCUCCUCCCCUAUUCCUGGUAACUUUAUUUAGCAUUCUUUUUCCUGGAU